Molecule: transfer RNA, 73 nt
Filed under: Stegodyphus mimosarum
Lineage: Eukaryota; Metazoa; Arthropoda; Arachnida; Araneae; Eresidae
Rfam family: tRNA
About the family: Transfer RNA (tRNA) molecules are approximately 80 nucleotides in length. Their secondary structure includes four short double-helical elements and three loops (D, anti-codon, and T loops).
Source: Rfam by way of RNAcentral
GCCUUCGUGGUGUAAUGGACAGCACACUGAGCCGGUAAUUCAGAGGUCCGUGGUUCGAUCCCCGGCGAAGGCA